AGAGUUUGAUCCUGGCUCAGGACGAACGCUGGCGGCGUGCUUAAAACAUGCAAGUCGAACGGACUUCUCAUGAAGCUUGCGAUUGAGAAGUUAGUGGCGGACGGGUGAGUAACGCGUGGGCAACCUGCCCCUGAGCCCGGGAUAACAGUUCGAAAGGACUGCUAAGACCGGAUAUACUUGCGGUGAAGCAUUUCACUGCAAGGAAAGGGAACGCUCAGGGAUGGGCCCGCGUCCCAUUAGCUAGUUGGUGAGGUAACGGCCCACCAAGGCGACGAUGGGUAGCCGGCCUGAGAGGGUGAACGGCCACACUGGGACUGAGACACGGCCCAGACUCCUACGGGAGGCAGCAGUUGGGAAUCUUCGGCAAUGGGCGCAAGCCUGACCGAGCAACGCCGCGUGAGUGAUGAAGGUUUUCGGAUUGUAAAGCUCUGUCUUCCGGGACGAUAAUGACGGUACCGGAGGAGGAAGCCACGGCUAACUACGUGCCAGCAGCCGCGGUAAUACGUAGGUGGCGAGCGUUGUCCGGAAUUACUGGGCGUAAAGGGCGCGUAGGCGGCCUGUCAAGUCAGAUGUGAAAUCCCCGGGCUUAACCCGGGAACUGCAUUUGAAACUGGCGGGCUUGAGGGCAGGAGAGGAAAGCGGAACUCCCAGUGUAGCGGUGAAAUGCGUAGAUAUUGGGAGGAACACCAGUGGCGAAGGCGGCUUU
This 706-nucleotide ribosomal RNA is filed under the name uncultured bacterium. RNAcentral describes it as "bacterial SSU rRNA". It matches the Rfam family "Bacterial small subunit ribosomal RNA", at positions 8 to 728 of the family's 1533-position model. The record is from RNAcentral.